RNAcentral lists this unclassified non-coding RNA (454 nucleotides) under Hevea brasiliensis (rubber tree). The record is from RNAcentral. Lineage: Eukaryota; Viridiplantae; Streptophyta; Magnoliopsida; Malpighiales; Euphorbiaceae.
UUAAGUUUGUAAACAACAUUGCCUGAAAAUUUCGAAGUAAUUGCUUUUAGAUGAUCCAUAUUUCUGUUUGAUAACUAAAAACAAGCAUUGAUACUAGAUAAUGCCAACCACGAAAAGCCAAAUCAGGAACAUAAGGAACAAUGCAAAACUGCCCAGAAAAGUUUUUCCUCAUGCAUUCACAUUUUAUGCUGUAGCACACAAGCUUAUAGGAGACGUUAGUUACCCUUGAAAUAUUUGAAUGAAGUUCAUUAGUUAAAACAGGAAGUAUGCAAUACAAACUAUCAAUAUUGCAUUUUGGUAGCACAUACCAAAAAUAAAAAAAAGCACACAAUCAGCAUAGAUAAGACUUUAGGGGCAACUAUAUUGAUUUGUGAGCAUAGAUAUGACUUUAGGCAACUAUAGUUGUUGCAAUCCAUAUCACACAUAUAUACCUUAGCAUCAGGACUAUUGAAAA